GACGAACCGUGCGAACGUUGUUCGGAAUCACUGGGCUUAAAGGGCGCGUAGGCGGGCUGACAAGUCUGGGGUGAAAUGCCGCGGCUCAACCGUGGAACUGCCUCAGAUACUGUCGGCCUCGAGGGAGGUAGGGGCGUGCGGAACUGUAGGUGGAGCGGUGAAAUGCGUUGAUAUCUACAGGAACUCCGGUGGCGAAAGCGGCGUGCUGGACCUUUUCUGACGCUGAGGCGCGAAAGCUAGGGGAGCAAACGGG
Molecule: ribosomal RNA, 253 nt
Filed under: uncultured bacterium
Lineage: Bacteria
Description: partial 16S ribosomal RNA
Rfam family: Bacterial small subunit ribosomal RNA
Source: RNAcentral